CCGUGAUAUGAAAAACAACGGAAACGCAAAAGAAUUUUUUGAGAAAGGCGCAUGUUUCAAAUAAGAAAAAAAGGAUGCAGUUUAAAUCAAACGCAGAAAAAGCCGAGUACUAUAAACAAAGAGAAAAAGAAAGAGAAAGAAAAUUAAAACAUUACCGAAACAAUAGUGACAAAAUUAACUUCACAAAACGGUAAACAGAUUAGGCAUCUCUAUUCCUGCAACAAGAGCUCGGUCAGAAUGGAUGAGAUGGGAAACACCGCAGACCUCAUAACAGAAGGAGACAAUAUGGCCGUCGUUGCGGCGGAUGAAAAUGAUGAUUACUUCUUGUUAAAGGUAACUCGUACGCUAUACACAUUGCGAGCAGAGGGUAAAGAUGACUGGGUUAAUACUUUCCCGAAAGGAGCACGUGUUGUAGGAGGGUAUUACUACCACUC
Dreissena polymorpha is the source of this 434-nucleotide long non-coding RNA. RefSeq lists it as uncharacterized. The transcript is spliced from 3 exons. The record is from RefSeq and is a predicted model, not a curated record. NCBI's taxonomy places the organism in Eukaryota, Metazoa, Mollusca, Bivalvia, Myida, Dreissenidae.